This 69-nucleotide transfer RNA is filed under the name Ovis aries (sheep). It matches the Rfam family "tRNA". Rfam says of the family: Transfer RNA (tRNA) molecules are approximately 80 nucleotides in length. Their secondary structure includes four short double-helical elements and three loops (D, anti-codon, and T loops). Further hydrogen bonds mediate the characteristic L-shaped molecular structure. tRNAs have two regions of fundamental functional importance: the anti-codon, which is responsible for specific mRNA codon recognition, and the 3' end, to which the tRNAs corresponding amino acid is attached (by aminoacyl-tRNA synthetases). tRNAs cope with the degeneracy of the genetic code in two manners: having more than one tRNA (with a specific anti-codon) for a particular amino acid; and 'wobble' base-pairing, i.e. permitting non-standard base-pairing at the 3rd anti-codon position. The record is from Rfam by way of RNAcentral. Lineage: Eukaryota; Metazoa; Chordata; Mammalia; Artiodactyla; Bovidae.
CCUGAUGGCUCAGACAGUAAAGAAUCUGCCUGCAAUGCAGGAGACCCAGGUUCGAUCCCUGCAUUGGGA